This is a long non-coding RNA of Bombus huntii, 1649 nucleotides long. RefSeq lists it as uncharacterized. The record is from RefSeq and is a predicted model, not a curated record. Lineage: Eukaryota; Metazoa; Arthropoda; Insecta; Hymenoptera; Apidae. The transcript is spliced from 2 exons.
UCAAAGAAAUCAAAUUAUGUAUCUUUCGGUAUUAAUCACAUAAAUUUAUCAUUAAAUUGCGGAUUUUUAUAAAAUUCAUAUUUUUGUGGACAUAAUUAAAAUAAGAGAAUCUGCGGUCUAUUUAUCAUAUACUAAGAGCAUACGGAAAGAACGGGAGAAAUCACAUUUUCUAUUUUUUACAGAGGAGUGGACUUAAGAUUCACAUAAUUCUCCCGUUUAAUCAUGAUAUUUUGAGGGCAGGAGGGCUGUUCAGUCAUGGAUUUAACCGGUUAUUUUCGCUCUUGCAUUGUUUUGAAUGGAAAGCGAUCGUUAAUACUGUUGCUUUACCAUUACGUUCUCAGCGUGUUGUAUUUCUAUUGGGUGGGGGGGGGGGGGGGAUAAAGGCCUAGUACUGUAUGCAUGGGGAUGGACAGCAAGGCAAUGCUAUGGACACCUUUGUGAGAUAUUCCAAAACACGUACUCUGAUAGCGGAACGUUAAAUUGGUCGUCAUGUGAUCAUCUGAUACUUAUGAUAGGAUCUUUGCUAUUGGGCUGUGGAAAAUACAAUGUGAAGAAGCUACAAGCACAUGCCAUUAAAUAUAUGUUAAAUUGCUCCUGCGUAGUACCUGCAUACUGGCUAUCAGGACACAAAGGAUGAGGGAUGCAGGAUGAAGAAAUACUUUGGUACGCUAGGCCAGGCCUGUACAAGGGCGUUUUUACGUUUGAGUUAGUUAUGAACAUGCGGCAACUCAACGUUAUUACCAAAGGAAUAAAAAAAAAUAUAUAUAUAUAAUAUGUAUAUAUAUUAAUAUGAUAAUAAAUAAACGUUAUCUUUUAUUUCUAAUAUAUAUAUAUGUAUCUAUAUAUAUAUAUUAUAUAUAAUUAUACGAGACAUGAUCCGGGAAACGAUCGAAGGACGAAGGAGUCGCGAGGAUAUACAAUUUGGAAUGUGUACAAAAAUGGUUAACGCGCUCCAUGCCGCGUGGAUCACCGGUGAUCCAUCCUCCCGUUUAAUAUUGAAGUUUAUUAAUGACUAGGGAGACGAAACUAAAACUGGAAACACUUCGGUAUAAUCGAUAGUCUCUUGUAAUUAAAUAUUAAAUAAUCGUAGUAUUUAGAUACUAAUACUAUAUUAUAAAUUUACAUACACACAUGUUUAACCUGUUGUGCACAGGAUUUGUUCUUAUAAUAACUUAACCACUUUUGAAGGUAGGACUUACUAAUAGCAUUUUAAAAAAGCUUUUAUAUAAUUGACUAUUCCUUAUCUUUUUAUAUAACAAUAAAUAAUAAAUUAAGUUUCACUGGGUUAAGUGUUUCCAGUUUACUUCGCUCCCAAAAUACUAAAUAUACACAAAUAAUUUACACGAAUAAACGUCAACAAAAUGAAAUAAAAAGAAAUUAAUGACACGAGUCUAAGGUAUAAUUUAAUUCUUCGUAAAAUUAAUCGUAGAAGGAAAAAACUGAAGCAAACAAAAACAAAACAAGAUCGACCAUACAUAUCUACGUACAUCGAAACCAAGGAGUCUGGAUAUUUGCAAUGUAUGUAGAAUAUAAUAUGAUGAACAUCGGCCAAAAAAUAAACAUUGUAAUACACGCAAAAAUAUAAAUUAAGUACUUCAUAAUACGGCUCCUUUGAGCCCAUUGUUUCCUUAGUUCAUGAUCAUAAGUUU